This 202-nucleotide long non-coding RNA is filed under the name Elaeis guineensis (African oil palm). RNAcentral describes it as "long non-coding RNA (EGUI_LNC043259)". Lineage: Eukaryota; Viridiplantae; Streptophyta; Magnoliopsida; Arecales; Arecaceae. The record is from RNAcentral.
AUAGAAAAAGUGAUCCUGAAUGUAAGCCGACUUCAGAAAUUCAUGAGUUGACUCCAUUAGACAAGUUGACCCCACUAAAAUAUGAGUCAACUCUAUAAUCAUCCCAGGACAGAAGACAGAGAGUGGUAAAGAUUUGAUCAUAACAAGAGCCAACUCUAGAAAUUCUUGAGCCAACUCUAGUGGAACUCGAGUUGACCCCAGA